GUGGUCUAAUGAACUUAAAAGUUUGUUUUUGCCUUUUAGCAAUUCACUAUGCUGUUGAAUAUUAAUCCUCUCAAAAAAAUGUUUGAAGAAAUUUUCUUUUUAUUUAUGAAAUCUGAAAUGAGAAAAAUUUAACCCCCCCCCUUUUUUCACAUCCCUGUUUCCUUUUUUCCAAAACUGAUAUCAAUUCAAAUUUCUAAUGGAGUUUGCAACAAUAACUACUCUUUUAAAUACAUCAUAAAAUAUUAAAAU
RNAcentral lists this long non-coding RNA (249 nucleotides) under Mytilus galloprovincialis (Mediterranean mussel). The record is from RNAcentral. Lineage: Eukaryota; Metazoa; Mollusca; Bivalvia; Mytilida; Mytilidae.